This 508-nucleotide ribosomal RNA is filed under the name uncultured bacterium. Its description in RNAcentral is "partial 16S ribosomal RNA". The record is from RNAcentral.
GGAGUUAGCCGGUGCUUCUUCUGUGAGUGAUGUCCUUCCUGCCGGCUAUUAACCCGCAGGCCUUCUUCCUCACUGAAAGUGCUUUACAACCCGAAGGCCUUCUUCACACACGCGGCAUGGCUGGAUCAGGGUUGCCCCCAUUGUCCAAUAUUCCCCACUGCUGCCUCCCGUAGGAGUCUGGGCCGUGUCUCAGUCCCAGUGUGGCUGAUCAUCCUCUCAGACCAGCUACGGAUCGUCGCCUUGGUGAGCCGUUACCUCACCAACCAGCUAAUCCGACAUAGGCUCAUCCGAUAGCGCGAGGCCCGAAGGUCCCCCGCUUUCCCCCGUAGGGCGUAUGCGGUAUUAGCCUGGGUUUCCCCAGGUUAUCCCCCACUACCGGGCAGAUUCCUAUGCAUUACUCACCCGUCCGCCGCUCGCCACCAGGGAGCAAGCUCCCCGUGCUGCCGCUCGACUUGCAUGUGUUAGGCCUGCCGCCACGCGUUCAUCUGAACCAAGAUACAAUUACUGA